AGUGGCGGACGGGGGAGUAACGCGUGGGUAACCUGCCUCAUACAGGGGGAUAACAGUUAGAAAUAGACUGCUAAUACCGCAUAAGACCACAGCACCGCAUGGUGCAGGGGUAAAAACUCCGGUGGUAUGAGAUGGACCCGCGUCUGAUUAGGUAGUUGGUGGGGUAACGGCCUACCAAGCCGACGAUCAGUAGCCGACCUGAGAGGGUGACCGGCCACAUUGGGACUGAGACACGGCCCAA
Molecule: ribosomal RNA, 241 nt
Filed under: uncultured bacterium
Lineage: Bacteria
Description: partial 16S ribosomal RNA
Rfam family: Bacterial small subunit ribosomal RNA
Source: RNAcentral